Long non-coding RNA from Esox lucius (northern pike), 1024 nucleotides. The record is from Ensembl. NCBI's taxonomy places the organism in Eukaryota, Metazoa, Chordata, Actinopteri, Esociformes, Esocidae.
CGCACCCCAGACAGGCCAGUGUCAAGGGCAGAAAAAGCAGAUCAGAGAGGAGGACUGUGGAUUGUGAAGGCGGUGGGGUGGAGCCUAUCUGUGUAGCUAGGGCUGGGGUUGAGCCUGUCUGUGUAACUAGGGCUGGGGUGGAGCCUGUCUGUGUAGCUAGGGCUGGGGUGGAGCCUGGCUGGGGUGGAGCCGUUCAGUGUAGCUAGGGCUGGGGUGGAGCCUGUCAGUGUAGCUAGGGCUGGGGUGGAGCCUGUCUGUGUAACUAGGGCUGGGGUGGAGCCUGUCAGUGUAGCUAGGGCUGGGGUGGAGCCUGUCAGUGUAGCUAGGGCUGGGGUGGAGCCUGUCUGUGUAGCUAGGGCUGGGAUGGAGACUGGCCGUGUAACUAGGGCUGGGGUGGAGCCUGUCUGUGUAGCUAGGGCUGGGGUGGAGCCUGUCUGUGUAACUAGGGCUAGGGUGGAGCCUGUCUGUGUAGCUAGGGCUGGGGUGGAGCCUGUCUGUGUAACUAGGGCUAGGGUGGAGCCUGUCUGUGUAGCUAGGGCUGGGGUGAAGCCUGUCUUUUGUGGAGGAAAUGCAAAACUGACCCCAGAUCAGGGUAUAGUGGCCACUUCACCAAACACUAUAAAACUAGACAGUGUUACCCCGGUAAGGGAACAUCCACUUCCAAGAACCUCUACUUCAUUCAGAAUAAUAAAUGGGAAACAGAUUGAAUUAAAUAAAAAAAUAACUCAAGCAGUUGUCACCUCACCAACAACUAAUGUAUAUGCAAGGAUGUGAACAUACAGAUUGCACAGAAAAUGACUUUGGUUGAUCUCUAGGAUUAUUGUUGACUGGAUAAUAUAUGUCAUGCGUAUUGGCAAGUGGUUAAAGAUUGUGUAUCGAUUGUGAUCAAUGCUGCAAAUCCCUUUUUUCCUUUUAAAAUGAUUGGUAAUUAAUCAGUGUUGUGACUUAGCGUUAAACCUCUGGUUACACUGGUCCUCAAUGUUCCUGGCAGGUUCUAUACAUUUUCUGAUGUUUUGAAUUCUAG